RNAcentral lists this ribosomal RNA (500 nucleotides) under uncultured bacterium. RNAcentral's name for it is "partial 16S ribosomal RNA". It matches the Rfam family "Bacterial small subunit ribosomal RNA", at positions 30 to 523 of the family's 1533-position model. The record is from RNAcentral.
AUUGAACGCUGGCGGCAGGCCUAACACAUGCAAGUCGAGCGGUUGACGGGAGCUUGCUCCCUGAUUCAGCGGCGGACGGGUGAGUAAUGCCUAGGAAUCUGCCUAUUAGUGGGGGACAACGUUUCGAAAGGAACGCUAAUACCGCGUACGUCCUACGGGAGAAAGCAGGGGACCUUCGGGCCUUGCGCUAAUAGAUGAGCCUAGGUCGGAUUAGCUUGUUGGUGAGGUAAUGGCUCACCAAGGCGACGAUCCGUAACUGGCCUGAGAGGAUGAUCAGUCACACUGGAACUGAGACACGGUCCAGACUCCUACGGGAGGCAGCAGUGGGGAAUAUUGGACAAUGGGCGAAAGCCUGAUUCAGCCAUGCCGCGUGUGUGAAGAAGGUCUUCGGAUUGUAAAGCACUUUAAGUUGGGAGGAAGGGUUGUAGAUUAAUACUCUGCAAUUUUGACGUUACCGACAGAAUAAGCACCGGCUAACUCUGUGCCAGCCGCCGCCGUAA